ACGAACAGAAGAGGAGAAUGAAUAAGAAUAUAUGAGCAUGAGCAUGAGCAUGAGAGAUCACCCAUGGUUGCCCCUCCGUUGCAGAACAGAACCGUAAUAUCCUUUCAGCACUACUGAUUAUAGGCUUUAACGAUCUAGUGGUGUUUCCCUUAUCAACAGCAUGUAUGAAUGCGCCGAAAAGAUAUAACACCAUGAUUGCUAAAGCUAGAUCAGUUGCGAAUAGGUAACAGUCAUUGGCCACCAACGGCGCCCGCCAUGUCAGUUUGUAGACCUCGAUUUUAAGGGACGGGAAUGUUAGUUAGCGCAGGUUGCUACUAGGGCAGCUGAUUCACUCUGUGCUUACACCCCACGAGCGCCAGGAACCAGAAAACUUGUUAGUAGGAUAGGGUUUUUGGUCAGGAGUCAUCAUAGAAGAUGAUGAUGCGACCCAAAAUCAUAGAGUUUGUUGAACGGUAUUAUGUAUUAUUCUCAAGGCAAGCAAUCGGAUGCUCCGGAUGAGACAUAUUCCGUUUAUCGGUUGUUAAAUUUUAAAUGAAAUGGUUUAGUCUUAGACAGCCGGCUGUGGAAAGAUAGAACUAAAAUCAUUUGUAAUUAAAACUGAAGGGUUAAACAGUGUAAUUUUUAACUUGAGAUGAUUCCAAGAGCUUUAAAUGAUUGAUGUUUAGUGAGGUACUGAUUAACUUUGCGAAUGACGAGUUACGAUGCUUAUCGAGAUGAAAUGGUAUGAUAGGGGUUUGUUGUUGUUGCACGCCGCGACGGACACGAAAAAUCUUGCGACCCAACGGAAAGGCAUCGCAAAUCGGACUCUACACAAUCCUGUGUUUUUACUUUGUAAACAAACACAACCCUCCGCUCGCACUGAUGGAACAUAAUUGAAUGAUUCCCCCCCGUCCAGCGCGUCCCUUCACUCAAUAUUUUUGCAUGCACAAUCCUGUUUUUUCACUUUGUAAACAAACACAACCAUCCGCUCGCACUGAUGGAACAUAAUUGAAUCAGAAGAGGAGAAUGAAUAAGAAUAUAUGUGCAAAUAUGCAAAUUUUGAACAAUUCUAACACUUAUAAGUUUGGGGCGGCGAAAUCUUUUAGAAAUGCUGCUCGCUAACUGGGGUGAUCGAAAAAUGACGAGGAGAACAUCAAUGCAUUAUAUUUUCUCAUCAUAAAAUGUAAAUAAUAGUAACUCAAAAACAUUCACCGGUGGACAGAUUUCUAAUGGUACGUUCGUUUGAUUGCUAGUUCCGCACUGAGUGUCGCACUCAGAGCUGUCAAAGUGUUUCUUUGAAGAAACUAGCUCUAGUUCCGCACGAGUAUCGCCGCCAUCUUGGAACUGAAACUCUAGUGCCGCACUCGAUAUUUUUUCAGUUUCAUGCGAGUUCCAUGCACACUGACAAAUGACGUUCGAUUGAACCAAAACUGACACCGACGAGUGCGGCACUCAGUGCCGCACCGGUUCUUCAAACGAACGUACCAUAAGUCAUGUUUUGCAGGAGGAACUGGUCCACCGGUGCAAAAUGAACUGGUCCAUCGGUGGAUGGAAUACUUCCCAGGUUGAGCAGGAGGAAUCUUUUCACCGGUGGAAAGAUUUCUUAGUCAUGUUUUGCAGGUUUAAAAUAAAUUGCGCAUUUAAAAUACUCACUAAAUUUCCGUCGAAAAUGUUUAAAACUAUUUUUAAUUUAACACCAAAAAGGUGAUAUGCCAACAUUAAAUGCUCGAUGGAAUUAAAUGCUGAUCCCAAGUUCAAGUCCGAGAUUAAAUGUAAAUCUUUUUUAAGGACAAAAAAUAAACUAAAAAACGUAACUUAAUCCACCUUUAGGUGGUUGAUGCCUUCCUCUCAUUUAUAGAGUGAUAACAAUCCACUAAAGUGUCCACAUGGUUUAUGGAUCCCCCUUAACGUGAUCGCAGCACCUAAGAGGUCCUAAUAAAAAUAAGUGACGAGUAAAAAAAACACUUCCUACAGACUUUUUGUCAAGAUUAUACAGACACCGUCUUUCAGAAAAAUGGCAUCCCUUUACAAGGCUUUUUUCGUAGCGAUCAGACGGGAUCAUUUGAGGUUAUGUAAAUUCAGACCAUUUUUUAAACUGCUUGUAAUUUUAGAUAGGUAAGUCAGAUCUUGAAAAUUCUUAAUCCACAAGAAAGAUCUUCUCAUAUGCUUUCUAAAAAUAUAUAACAUGUGAGGCUUUCAUGAAAAAACCACCCUUUUUACCAUAAUUUUAAUUUAAUAUGAAACAGUUUUUUUAACAUAACUUUUUAAAUACAUGAUUAAACUGCAUGAAUUUAAAUAGCAACUUAGGGGACGUUAAGACGGAUCGAUUAAAACCAUUCCGGCCAAAGUCGGUUGAGCCUGUGACAAGAUAUUUCAGUGACAUUGAUUUGGUACACAUGUCUACAUACAGCCAAACACACAGACAUUUGCUCAGCUGGUGAUUCUGAGUCGAUAUGUACAAAUGAAGGUAGGUCUAUGAGGUCUAACUAAAAAGUUCGUUUUUCGAGUGAUUUUAUAGCCUUUCCUCAGUAAAGUGAGGAAGGCAAUAAUAUUUUUUGUAAAUUAUGACCGAUGCGCACACGAACUUUUCAAACGCUACGCGCCAAAAACUUGGUUCGAUCUUUGUUCGAUUUUGACUUCACUCGCCUUGUAUGUGGAUGACAGUCGUGACGUAGCCGUGGCUACGCGUCGAGGAGGAGCUCAAGAAACGGUUCCGGAUCACAUCCCUGGGGCCGGUGCAUCUCUUUCUCAGAAUCGCUGUGAACCAGGACGCCGACGCACAGUGGAUCUUCUCCGUGUGACAAAAUUAAAAAAAUGUCAGGUAUUCUACCAAAUAUGUCAUAUUAGGGUAAUUUUGGGCAGCUGAAUUCAAAAAAUACAUUUUUUUCAUGAAAUAAAAUCUAAGUACAUUAGGGUGGUUCAUAAAUUAUUAUUAUUAUAUUUUUUUUAAUUGCUGAAAUUGUUUUUUUUUUUAUAUCAGUAGUAGCUUCAAAUUUUAAUUUUGUGUGUGUGUAAAUCUAAACAAAUAAAAUGUUAGGAUUGGGGCACAAUCUGGAUGUGUCUUUUGAAGAUUUGCUGACUCUUGGUGAGAGUGUUCCAUUCCAUCAUUAUUUGCUGAUUUUAUUCUCUUAUAUUAUUAUAUGUAUUAUAAAUUAAAUAACCCUCCUACCCAUUCCUCUCAUUCCCGUUCCACAAUCUCAAAUUGCCCAAUUCCACUUCACCCUAGAAAUAUAAUAUCUGCCCUAGUUUAUAUCACCCUGCUGUCAUUGAAGGGGACGCUUUGUUAUGAUUCGUUUUUCUUCGCCGAAUGUAUACACGCUUACCAGGGGAACUCAAAUUUGAGUGGAUCCAAGCAAAACGGCGCAAACCGUAGUCAUACAAAUUUGACAUCGAGUACCCGAACUUAAUUUUAACAUGGUGGAGCCGAUGUCAAAUUUGACAUGCGAUGGGUACCGGAAAAAUCCUCCGGGAAAGCAGAAAAACGGUUCCGGGGGACGGAUAUCGGUUCGGAAUGGUAGUAGAAAGGAAAUUGUCGAUCUGGGCUAGUUUUUUGGUGACUUUAUUUAUAUGUUAUUUUAUUAAAUUCGAUUUUCAUUAAUCAUUAUUAUUUUCAGCAUUUAAUGCAACGGUUCCAGCGACUACGGGUGGACGAGGACUACCGAGUGACACUUGCUAGAGACCGGAUGACGAUGCUCUUGUCGAGCGGAUCGCCGGGGAUAAUCUGCCAGUGGUGAAAGACAUCGAACGAAUCGCUGGACGGGAUGAAUGCUUUGAUGGUGUAGAGGGGGGAACCGGAGACGAGUGCGUCCUGGGUGACGGGGGCACGUCGCCGGGCGAGUACGGCUUGCACUUCGACGAAGAGGCACGGUUCCAUGAGGCGGGGUGUUGCCAUGACAAAGGCUGAGUAGGCGAUUCGGCGGGUGAUUGGGAUGAAUUGACCACCUCCGCGAUGGUGCGGUUCCUGGGCGAUGACGGCGUCGAGAAUCCGGAACUUAACGUGUCGUAUGUGUUCCCCGCACAGUGGUUUUUAGCGUGUGUCCCACUAGAUCCAUUGCAUGAUGGAGUCUUUGAUGGCGCCGAGUUUUGUCCACUCUGCGCUUGGGCUAGAGUUGCUUCGAAAGAGGAUGAGUAGAAGAUCAUUCCACGGUGGGGAAGGCGUACUUUGUUUGUCUCCACCAGGGUUCUUAUAAAGGCAAACUCAGAUCGUUGCGGAACUUGGGGGAGCGUGCAAUUUCCAGAAGCUCCUCUUCGGCGUAGACAUCCGAGAUCGAGCCGGAUCUACGACGGCGUUCCUCCGAAGGGGCAGUGGACAUUUUCGAGUCAGUUACAUGAAGCACCUUGGGAGCCGGCGGCGUGGAUAGCGGUUCGAACGCGUUUGUGGAACUGGCCGUGUCGAGGAAAGGCCAACGGGGUAAGGUAGACAGCAUCUGGGGAACGGAAGUUCAAGUGCAAAUGAGUGUGCAACCUUUGACCACGAACGAAUAGCGCCAGACGAUGAACCGCAGGAUGCGAACAAGUCCGUUCCAAAACUGGUUCCCAGGGUAGGUUCAACAGAAAAGUCGUAACUCUGGUCUCGCGCGCUUUUGGCAAUUCUUCCUGCGAUCGUUCAACUCAUCUGCAAAUAUUUGUAUGAAUUAGCACAAACUUUUCGCGUAAAGGUUAAAUGAUCCGAACCUUAACCUGCACCAAAACCUCCGUGGAAAUCGUGUCCGGUUCAAUCUCAACCUUGACCACUUCAAACUGGGUGCAGAUGUGAUAUUUUAGCCGCUUUCGCAAAUCCUUCAACAUCGAGCAGGACAAUUUUCCCGAUAAACCUGAGCGGACCUUUGUCCAACCCACCGUGGAGUUGGCUCUGGCGAUUCCGUGAUCGGUUCGGCUUGCUCGCCCACCGGAGCAGAUGGUUCCGACGAUGGUUCCGCAAUAUCCUUGCUCGCCACUUUCACCCUACGGUCUUUAAGCUAAUCGAGGGGUUGCUGGACAAGGAUGUUCUCCGGGCAGUCCAUUCUGUCGACAACAAUCUGAUUGUUGAGUUCUUGCUGUUCGCGAUCGAUGAUGCUGUUAAUUCUGGCCGAAUCGGCAACGAGCUGGUGGGGAUGCUUUUGCAGACCUUGGGAUCGUACAGCUUAGAUGUCGGUGGACCAUCGGAGGUAUCUUCCGAAGCCAGCGCAAGUGUAAUCGAGGACCUCCCACGGGGCAUCAGCUGGAAAGUAACGUACUACUCCUGAACCGUACUCUAGCAUGAUGGAGAUGUGGUAAUAACUGCAACUGUUUGUUAAAUUAUAAUUUCAUCAUUAUCACUUGCAGCAUUUGAGCCGAGAAUCUUGUUUGGACGACGGAAUUGAUUACGGGUACAAGAGGACUAUCGAGUGACACUUGCCGAUAUCAAUGAUGAGUUCGCCGACGAGGUCGCGCGGGGUGUCGGUUCAGGCGAUUAACUGCAUGUUGUCUCGAUUAUGCGCAUGUCCUAUGGCGUCAAAGACCUUCGGGUAUUGGCCGUAGUCGAACCAGAGUGUGAGGAGGCGAAGGAAGUUUCUUUGGGAGAGGUUGAACGAGCGGUAGAACCUUCCACGGCAAAACGGAUAAAAUCUUUGAUGGUGUAGAGAGGGGAACCGGGAACGGGUGCGUCGCCGGACGAGGACGGUGUACACGAAGGAAACGCAAUCGGCGGGGUCUUGCACUUCGAUGAAAUGGUACGGUUCCAGUAGGCGACUCGGCGUGAGGUUGGGCUGAUUUGGCCACCUCCGCGGUGGAACGGUUCCUGGGCGAUGGAUUGGUCCAGGAUUUGGAACUCGACGUUUAGAAUGGGAUUCUUCGUAGAGUGGUCUUCGCGCGUGCUCCACUGGAAACUUUACACGAUGGAGUCUUUGACGGUACCGAGCAGGACUUUGUUUGGGCUGGUGUUGUCCGGACCGAAGGCCCAGGUAGAUUGUGCCGCAAUCAGAUCCCAGUCGUAGCUGACCGGUACCGCAAUCAUCGUAAUCUUGUUCUUUUUGUUGGGCGUCUCGAAACACUUGAACAAUCUCGUCUCGCAA
Molecule: long non-coding RNA, 6011 nt
Organism: Culex pipiens pallens (northern house mosquito)
Lineage: Eukaryota; Metazoa; Arthropoda; Insecta; Diptera; Culicidae
Exons: 2
Source: RefSeq, a predicted model, not a curated record